CUUCUGUGAGUCUACACUUUCAUUAAGAAAAGAGAGUACCCACAAAGCAAGAUGACAACUUUGUUCAUGUUAAACUGUUGCAGUUCAGAUGUGCCACUCUCAGCCUCCCUUCAGCAGGAUGCAGUUAACAACCAUGCUGACAAGGAGCGUUGGAGUUGCGGGAAGUACUCUGCGGUGCAGCCUUGGAGCACACUGCUUCCUGCAGUGCAAGAGGCACACAGCCAGCAGGCAGAUGGAAAGAGCGGGAACGAUGAGGCGAGAAGCGAGAGCGGCGGGAAGCGAAAACGGCGGGAAGAGAGAGACACGUUCUGCGCUCCUAUUGGCUGGCGGGCGGCGGGGACACCUAUAUAAGGCUCACGGGGAAAUGCAAACUCCUUACAGCGUGACAGGAAUCCCACUGCUCUGAGGAAAAGACGGCAAGCGGCAUCCCGGGCUGAGGAGCUCCCGCAGAAGACGGCGGAAGAAGCCACGUGUGGAACUGGGCGGCAGGAGGAUGCAAGCAGAGGGAGCAAGAAGAGGAAGCAGAAGACUGCGGCUGGGCUAAGGGAGAGGCGGCCUGGGCAAAAGCAUCUCCCUGUCACCAGGGGCAUAGUCAUGUCGCAGUAGAGCGUUGCCGGCACUUUAGGUGACCAGGCCGGCUUUGUGCUGGG
RNAcentral lists this long non-coding RNA (650 nucleotides) under Gallus gallus (chicken). RNAcentral describes it as "lncRNA (ENSGALG00010015548.1)". The record is from RNAcentral. Lineage: Eukaryota; Metazoa; Chordata; Aves; Galliformes; Phasianidae.